GAAUUUUAUAUAAAUUUUAUUUUUAUUUAGUAAAAUUAAAAAAAAUAGAAUUUAUAUUUGAUUGGGAGGAUUAUUAAAUUUUAUAAACUUUAAUAUAAAUAGAGACAUUAAUUUAUGAUUAUUUUUAAAUUGAUUAAGAUUUUAUGGUUAAUUUUAUGUUAAAAUUAAUUACCUUAGGGAUAACAGCGUAAUAUUUUUAGAAAGAUCUUAUUGAUAAGAAUGUUUGC
Molecule: ribosomal RNA, 227 nt
Filed under: Camponotus coloratus
Lineage: Eukaryota; Metazoa; Arthropoda; Insecta; Hymenoptera; Formicidae
Description: partial large subunit ribosomal RNA
Source: RNAcentral